This 253-nucleotide ribosomal RNA is filed under the name uncultured bacterium. Its description in RNAcentral is "partial 16S ribosomal RNA". It matches the Rfam family "Bacterial small subunit ribosomal RNA", at positions 524 to 776 of the family's 1533-position model. The record is from RNAcentral.
UACGUAGGGACCAAGCGUUGUUCGGAUUUACUGGGCGUAAAGGGCGCGUAGGCGGCAAUUCAAGUCAUCUGUGAAAUCUCCGAGCUUAACUCGGAACGGUCAGAUGAUACUGCUUUGCUAGAGUGCAGAAGGGGCAACCGGAAUUCUUGGUGUAGCGGUGAAAUGCGUAGAUAUCAAGAGGAACACCGGUGGCGAAGGCGGUUCUUUGGGCCUUACCUGACGCUGAGGAGCGAAAGCGUGGGGAGCGAACAGG